GUAGAAGAAAAGAGUUGGCAUCCAGAAAA
RNAcentral lists this non-coding RNA (29 nucleotides) under Cricetulus griseus (Chinese hamster). Lineage: Eukaryota; Metazoa; Chordata; Mammalia; Rodentia; Cricetidae. The record is from RNAcentral.